This 253-nucleotide ribosomal RNA is filed under the name uncultured bacterium. Its description in RNAcentral is "partial 16S ribosomal RNA". It matches the Rfam family "Bacterial small subunit ribosomal RNA", at positions 524 to 776 of the family's 1533-position model. The record is from RNAcentral.
UACGAAGGGGGCUAGCGUUGCUCGGAAUCACUGGGCGUAAAGCGCACGUAGGCGGAUUGCUAAGUCAGGGGUGAAAUCCUGGAGCUCAGCUCCAGAACUGCCUUUGAUACUGGCGAUCUCGAGUCCGGGAGAGGUGAGUGGAACUGCGAGUGUAGAGGUGAAAUUCGUAGAUAUUCGCAAGAACACCAGUGGCGAAGGCGGCUCACUGGCCCGGUACUGACGCUGAGGUGCGAAAGCGUGGGGAGCAAACAGG